AAUCAGAUGCUCCAUUUCCCAGGUCUAGAAAAGCAGCUUUCAGAAAUGACUCCAGAAAGCCGAUAGUUUAGAUUAUUUGUGAAUUCACCAUGAGCCACCACAAUGGUUCCAGUGCUCCUGUUUACCACGGUUUGAUAAACCAAGGAGCAACAUGCCUGCACAGUGUGCUGCAGGUGCUGUUCAUGACAAAAGAGUUCAGAGAAGCUGUGGAGAGGGUCCCAGCUACAGAAAACAACACUGAGUCUAUUGAUCCUGAACUAAAAUCCUUGUUUAGGGAUUUAAAAUCAGGCACAGCUGACACUUGUGAUCUCACAAAGAAGCUGGACAUUCAAAUAGUGCAUGAAAAACAAGAGGCUGCUGAAUUGUUUGAGAGGAUCAUAAGUAAUACUAGUCAUGAGGCUGCACAGAUAUUUCAAGGACAUUUGACACACAGGAAUAAAUGCUCCAUGUGUGGCAGCCACACAAACAAUGACGAAUCAUUUUGGACUCUACCUCUUGAAUUGGAGGAUUCUACAACUAGUUUGGCCUCAAGCUGUCAUGAUCCGUGUCUUUGUUUCUAGUUGUUCCCUGUUUUCACGUCAUGUCCUGCUUGUCUUAUUUUGGUUCCAGUUUCCGUUUCCUGUUUUAUUUUGGUAGUCUCCCGGUCUCUGUUUUGUGUUCUAGCUUUACUUCCGGUUUCUUGUCUUGUCACAGCUGUCCCUGCUCAUUACCCACACCUGCACUCUGUUAGUCAUCAAGUCACUGUGUAUUUAACCACCACCUGUGUCCUUAGUUCGCUGCCAGAUUGUCGUAUUCGAGUUCCCUGAGUGUUCGUGUUUGAUGAGUUGAGUUCCCUGAGUGUUCGUGUUUCCCGUGUCCUGUUCCUGUCUGUAUCAUGUAUCCUGCCCGAUCCUGGAUUGUCUACUUACCGUGAGUUUUUGCCUGUUCCCUGUCUGUACCUUCGCCGAGCCUUUUCGUGUAUGACCUGGACCGUCUGACCGUGCCUUUAAGAAUAAACCUUUUGUGGAUUAUAAUAUCGCCUCCGUG
RNAcentral lists this long non-coding RNA (1026 nucleotides) under Betta splendens (Siamese fighting fish). RNAcentral's name for it is "lncRNA (ENSBSLG00000010536.1)". Lineage: Eukaryota; Metazoa; Chordata; Actinopteri; Anabantiformes; Osphronemidae. The record is from RNAcentral.